UUAUUCAUAAGCUAUAAGUUAUUAAAAUUGGGAAACUUUCUGACUUUCAAUCGUUCAUCCCUAAAAUGUGUUCUUCCAAACCCUAACUGAAGAAUAUUUUUGUCUUCAAUCCUUUUUCUUCAUCUUGGCUUGUCUUCAACAUUCAUUUUCUUCUUUAAUCGUUUUAGUCCCAUCCUGCAUAGAUUUCGUCUUCAAUCGAUUUCAUCUCCGUCUUCAAUCAGAUGAGGAGUAUAAGUGGUGUAGGCGGAGAGCCAUUCGGCGGCGGGAUAAGAGAUCUGAGACGAUUUUCAUUUGAGAUUUUCCCGAAUCUUCAGUACUACACGAUCCUGGAUUCUUGAAGAGUAUGAGUAAAUUCUGAUAAGAGUUGUGUGCUUUUGAAAUUAUAAAAUAUUUGCAGGAAAAUACUGAUUUGAGUUCAUUCACCUGUGGUUCAAAUUAAAACUUCCAAUUUGAAAGAAUGAGAGAAUAACUAGUUAUUUUGAUGCUUUAAAGAA
Molecule: long non-coding RNA, 494 nt
Organism: Vicia villosa (hairy vetch)
Lineage: Eukaryota; Viridiplantae; Streptophyta; Magnoliopsida; Fabales; Fabaceae
Exons: 2
Source: RefSeq, a predicted model, not a curated record